This is a non-coding RNA of Microcebus murinus (gray mouse lemur), 389 nucleotides long. The record is from the annotation of a RefSeq genome assembly. NCBI's taxonomy places the organism in Eukaryota, Metazoa, Chordata, Mammalia, Primates, Cheirogaleidae.
AUGGAGUCUGGACUGAGCUGGAUUUUCCUUGUUGCUCUGUUACAAGGUGUCCAGUGUGAGGUGCAGCUGGUGGAGUCUGGGGGAGGCUUGGUCCAGCCUGGUGGGUCCCUGAAACUCUCUUGUGCAGCCUCUGGAUUCACCUUCAGCAGCUACUCAAUGUACUGGGUCCGCCAGGCUUCAGGGAAAGGGCUGGAGUGGGUUUCACACAUUAAUCCUAAUGGUGGUAGCACAAACUAUGCAGAUGCUGUGAAGGGCCGAUUCACGAUCUCCAGAGACAACGGCAAAAACACACUGUAUCUUCAGAUGAACAGUCUGAAAGCUGAGGAGAGGACACGGCUGUGUACUACUGUGCAAGAGACACGGUGAUCCCUCCUCUUUUGGGAUUCUAG